UACGUAGGGGGCUAGCGUUGUCCGGAAUCAUUGGGCGUAAAGCGCGUGUAGGCGGCUCGGUAAGUCUGCUGUGAAAGUCCAGGGCUCAACCCUGGAAUGCCGGUGGAAACUGUCGAGCUUGAGUCCGGAAGAGGCGAGUGGAAUUCCUGGUGUAGCGGUGAAAUGCGCAGAUAUCAGGAGGAACACCAAUGGCGAAGGCAGCUCGCUGGGACGGUACUGACGCUGAGACGCGAAAGCGUGGGGAGCAAACAGG
RNAcentral lists this ribosomal RNA (253 nucleotides) under uncultured bacterium. RNAcentral describes it as "partial 16S ribosomal RNA". It matches the Rfam family "Bacterial small subunit ribosomal RNA", at positions 524 to 776 of the family's 1533-position model. The record is from RNAcentral.